This 267-nucleotide signal recognition particle RNA is filed under the name Caldifarciminota bacterium. RNAcentral describes it as "candidate division WOR-3 bacterium (sediment metagenome) signal recognition particle sRNA large type". It matches the Rfam family "Bacterial large signal recognition particle RNA". From Rfam's summary of the family: The signal recognition particle (SRP) is a universally conserved ribonucleoprotein involved in the co-translational targeting of proteins to membranes. Archaeal SRP consists of a 7S RNA and homologues of the eukaryotic SRP19 and SRP54 proteins. The record is from RNAcentral. Lineage: Bacteria; Pseudomonadati; Caldifarciminota.
UCGUGCUAUGCGGGGGGCUGGCGGUCCCCUGUGACCCGAAAUCCGCCAAUGCGGGGCAGAGAGGAACCAUGAGUUCGGUCCGGUGCGAGUCCAGUGGGAAAUGUCCCCGGGUGUUGAAAGCCGGGUCCGGUGAUGGUCGCCACCGUGAACCCCGCCAGGACCGGAAGGUAGCAACGGUAAACGGACCGGCGGUCAGUCACCGGGACACCUGGCUGGAGCCUGAGGCUUUCCAACCCUCUCACCGGCUGCGCGAAGGUUCCGGCACGA